RNAcentral lists this long non-coding RNA (3855 nucleotides) under Homo sapiens (human). RNAcentral's name for it is "HSALNT0401442". Lineage: Eukaryota; Metazoa; Chordata; Mammalia; Primates; Hominidae. The record is from RNAcentral.
AGCUCCAACUGGGGCGACUUGUGGAGGGUGGUUCCUGGGACAACGCCCAUGCCGUGAUCAGGAACGGGGUCAGCAGGAGUCAGGUGGGGAAGUGCCAGGUGUCCACUGCCACGACCAACACGUUACUCACACUCACGGCACAAGAAUGGCCUCUGUACCCUGUGUGUAGGUAGGUCAGAAGCUUUUUUGUUUGUAUUUUAUGACUUUUAUAGAGUUAUGAUGACAUGUAUUUUUCUCAAAUUUUCAUAGCUGUCUCUCUAAUGAACUACAAAGUAGGGCGUUCAUGGUCCUUCUGGGAGGUGUGUGACUAAUGCGGGAAUUUCAAGCACCAUGACAGGGCGAAGGGAGCAGAAAUUCUGCAGGAAAACCGGGGGGCGGGGAGAACAGUGAUGUGACAUCAUUAGGCUGAGAAAGAGGUAGAUAUGGGUCCUCGUAGCAAACAGGAAUGACACUGGUUAACAUUGAAGGUACUCUCUCUCAAGUGUGUCAGGCUCUGUCCUAAGCUUGACCUGCAUCCUUCCAUUGGAACUUCCAGACGACUCUCCGAGGUGGUGUCCCAUUUCUCUGUACAGGCAUAUCCAGGCACAGUCGCUUGUAUGUCUGAGACCUCAAGCUGGAGAGUGCUGAUGGCCAACAUGCUGGUCACCUCUCCACAGUCCUUCCUCCUCCUGGACAACACCCCUGCUCUCUCUGGAUGGUCCUGAGCUAAGCCCGGAAGGUGAAUCACAGGGGUCUAAGUCAAUCGCGGGAUCCCACCUCUCUGCCUGUGAUUGGUGGACAUUGAGCCACUUCUGACCAAUGACGUGCAAGGGAUGUGCUUGGGGGAUUCUGGGAAAAUCUUUUCUCUGUAAAGAGAGGGGGCUCAUGAGGAGCAUGUUUUCUCCCCUGGCCUCAUCCCCUCCUGCCCUGGGCAUUGUCACCUGACCCCUCCUCCCCACCUCCACUGCCACCACCUUAAUCCAAAGCACAGCAUCCUGUGUUCGUUUGCUUGGAAUAUUCUGGUCUUCUCCUCCCUGGUCUCAUGCAGCCCGAGGAUUCUGCUCAAAUCCAAGUCAGGCCGUGUUGCUCCUCUGCUCGGAGCCCUCCAGGGAUUUCCCAUCUCACACUGAGUCAAAGCCCAAGACCCCAUCACUCCCCACAGGACCCCACUGACCCCCGCCCCUCCCCGCACCCUCCCCUGCGUCUCUCCCUUCCACUCACUGUCCCAGCCACCCUGGUUUCCUCACAGGCCCUUGACCUCCCCGGCAGCUCCGUCUCAGGCCUCUGCACGAGCUGCUCCCUGUGCAGGGAAUGAUCUACCCUAGUAACCCCCAUGGAUCCCUCCGUCCCCCAGGUCUCUGUUCACAAGUCUCCAUCUCCACUAGGCCUUCCCUGUCACAGUGUCUAAAAUGCAACCCUCCCCAUGCCCUGGGCCCCCACCUCUUCCCAGUUUAGUUUCUCUGAUACACUACCUGGUACACCGAGCUAUUUGGUUUGCUGUUCCGCUUGCCCAACCAGAACAGCAGCUCUACGGCGGCUUUGUCUCCCUCAUGGGCCCCCUUUUGGGGCCUGGGGCAGUGCUGGGCACGUGGCUAUCCCCAAAUAAAUAAUGACUGAAUAAGUGAAUGAAUGUACAUGGGGGCUGUGACAAUGUGUGACCAUGAGGGAUGCCUUGGGGGCCACAUGAGGCCAGAGGAGACUGGGCAGUGGCUUGGUGACUCUGUGGAGCCCCUGCCUGGCCAUGGCCCUCCCGCCUCCAGAGUUCUCCUAAGGGGUAAGAAAAGGCCUCCAUUGCUGGCACCUUCACCCACCGCAUCUCCCGUUGUUGCAGCCACAAUUUUCUUACAAGGACAGUGGCUGGAUUUGAGCCCAGGCUGUGUGGCUCCAGACCUAAGCCCAGGGCUUUGUCUGGGGUGUGGCCCAGGGGCAGGUCCUUGGGUGUGUGAGGGUGGCUUGGCUCAGCUCCUCUCCCUAGGUCACUGCAGCGGCCCUGUGCUGUUCUGUUUUCCCAUCCAGAAGUCCUGAGGGUCUCAGCAGAGGGGCCCAGGAUCCAAGUCCAUCCACUCCCAGGGCGGGUCCCUAGCCAGCCUCUGCCCAGCAUGUGGUGUGGAUGCUGCCAUAUCCUUCUGCUUCCUGAAAUGUUUCCCUUCCAGAACUUUCCAGGCCCAGGUUCCCCAUGCGGGGCUGCCUGAGCACCCCCACCCUAUGGCCAGCCCUGCUGCCCUGGCUUCCACCUCCAGAUCCUUCCUGCCAUGUCCCCCUCCAAUCAGAGCCGACCCACACUGUGUCCCUCCCAGUGGCUCUACUGCCUACUGAACACGUGCACCAUCACCGCCGUGGGGCCCACAGAGUCAAGGCUAUAAAGAGGGACUGAGAACACCGUGACGCCCUGGCCUGCGCACCCUCCUCUGCUCCAUCUGGGUCUGUCCGGAUGGCAGAGGCUCAGAGGGUCUGCCCCUACCAGAUGGUGGAGGCUCAGAAUGUCUGAGCCAGAAAAAGCAUGAAAGAAAACUUAGCCUUCCUCCUCCCAGUUAACAGGUGAGUCAGAUCCCAGUGCCCUGUAGGGACUGCAGAGGCAGCUCCCUUCUCUUGCCCUUGACUCCAUGCCCUUCUUCUUCUUCCUGCCUAGCUGCACACAUGGCACCAUGCAAUUCCCCUCCUCCUCCUCCUCCUCCUCCUCACUUCUGCUCAUGUGGGGAAACCUGUGCCUUAUGUAUCCUGCACCCCAGGGUUCUUGGACCCUGGACCCCAGCCUGUGGGCAGCAGGCCCUCCAAGCUCCACCCACUGCUCAGCACCACGUCCAUUACCCCCUGUCCAAGCCACUGUCCUCUCUUGUCCUGGUGAUUAAGACAGGCUCCUGUGGAGUUUCCAUGCUGCGCCUGCCCCCAUGAUCCAUUCUCCUUUCAGCCACCAGAGUAAGCAUGAUAAAGUGCAAUUAAGAUGAUGCCACUCUCUCAUCUACAAUCUUCAAUGACUUCUCAUUGCUCUUGGAAUCAAAUCCAAACCCCACUGUGGCUUGCAUGACCCCCUGUGAUCUGGUCCCUGCCCUCACGACACAUCUCUCCCUGUUCACUUUGUACUAAGCACAUUCCCACCUCAGGGCCUUUGCAUUUGCUGGGCCUGCAGCCUGAAUUGCUUUCUUCCCAGACCUUCUUGUAUCUGACCCCUUUUCAUCCUUCUGGUAUUAGCUCACCUGUCACCCCCACGUGAAGGCUGUAUCAAUCAGCAUUUUCCAGAGAAACAGAAUCCAUAUGGAGAGAGGGGGGGUGGGGAGAGAGAGAGAGAGAGAGAGAGAGAGAGAAACUUAAGGGAUUCGCUCAUAGGAUUGCGGGGGCUGGCAAGUGUGAAAUCUGCAAGCAGACAGGCAGGCUGGAAAUUCCAGCAAGAGUUAAUGUUGCAGUCUGGAGUCGGAAGGGUGGAAACUCAGGCAGAAUUUCUACGUUACAGUCUGGAGUCAGAAUUCCUUCCUCUUUGAGGGACCACACUCUCUUAAGGCAGCAGUCCCCAGCACUUUUGGCACCAGGGACAAGUUUUGUGGAUGACAAUUUUUCCACGGACUGUGGGGGGUUGGGUGGAUGGUUUCAGGGUGAAACUGUUCCACCUCAGAUCAUCAGGUGUUAGAGUCUCAUAAGGAGCACGCAACCUAGGUCCCUUGCAUGCGCAGUUCACAAUAGGGUUCAUGCUCCUUCGAGAAUCUAACGCUGCUGCUGAUCUGACAGGAGGUGGAGAUCAGGUGGUAAUGUUUGCUCACCCACAACUCACCCCCUGCUGUGCGGCCUGGUUCCUAUCAGGCCACAGACCAGUAUCCCGGUCCACGGGCCUGGGGGUUGGGAACCUGUGUCUUAAGGCCUUCAACUGAUUGCAUGACACCCACC